AUUGAACGCUGGCGGCAUGCUUUACACAUGCAAGUCGAACGGUAACAGGCCGCAAGGUGCUGACGAGUGGCGAACGGGUGAGUAAUGCAUCGGAACGUGCCCAGUCGUGGGGAUAACGCAGCGAAAGCUGCGCUAAUACCGCAUACGAUCUAUGGAUGAAAGCGGGGGACCGUAAGGCCUCGCGCGAUUGGAGCGGCCGAUGUCAGAUUAGGAGUUGGUGGGGUAAAGGCUCACCAAGCCAACGAUCUGUAGCUGGUCUGAGAGGACGACCAGCCACACUGGGACUGAGACACGGCCCAGACUCCUACGGAGGCAGCAGUGGGAAUUUGGACAAUGGGCGCAAGCCUGAUCCAGCAAUGCCGCGUGCAGGAAGAAGGCCUUCGG
Molecule: ribosomal RNA, 384 nt
Filed under: uncultured bacterium
Lineage: Bacteria
Description: bacterial SSU rRNA
Rfam family: Bacterial small subunit ribosomal RNA
Source: RNAcentral